AGUUGCUGCUACGUUCUCGCCCAGGAUUUAUUAGAGUGCUGUCUGCCGAGCCUACAGAAAAUGGAGAACGAGAAGAAAGAAAA
Penaeus indicus is the source of this 83-nucleotide long non-coding RNA. RefSeq lists it as uncharacterized. The transcript has 2 exons. NCBI's taxonomy places the organism in Eukaryota, Metazoa, Arthropoda, Malacostraca, Decapoda, Penaeidae. The record is from RefSeq and is a predicted model, not a curated record.